UACGUAGGGUGCAAGCGUUGUCCGGAAUUAUUGGGCGUAAAGAGCUCGUAGGCGGCUUGUUGCGUCGACCGUGAAAACCCGGGGCUCAACUUCGGGCUUGCGGUCGAUACGGGCGGGCUAGAGUUCGGUAGGGGAGACUGGAAUUCCUGGUGUAGCGGUGAAAUGCGCAGAUAUCAGGAGGAACACCGGUGGCGAAGGCGGGUCUCUGGGCCGAAACUGACGCUGAGGAGCGAAAGCGUGGGGAGCAAACAGG
RNAcentral lists this ribosomal RNA (253 nucleotides) under uncultured bacterium. RNAcentral describes it as "partial 16S ribosomal RNA". It matches the Rfam family "Bacterial small subunit ribosomal RNA", at positions 524 to 776 of the family's 1533-position model. The record is from RNAcentral.